CAGUCGCCGCGGGAAUACGUAGGGUGCAAGCGUUAAUCGGAAUUACUGGGCGUAAAGCGUGCGCAGGCGGUUAUAUAAGACAGAUGUGAAAUCCCCGGGCUCAACCUGGGAACUGCAUUUGUGACUGUAUAGCUAGAGUACGGCAGAGGGGGAUGGAAUUCCGCGUGUAGCAGUGAAAUGCGUAGAUAUGCGGAGGAACACCGAUGGCGAAGGCAAUCCCCUGGGCCUGCACUGACGCUCAUGCACGAAAGCGUGGGGAGCAAACAGGAUUAGAUACCCCCGUAGUCCCUGUCUCUUAUAC
This 301-nucleotide ribosomal RNA is filed under the name uncultured bacterium. RNAcentral's name for it is "partial 16S ribosomal RNA". It matches the Rfam family "Bacterial small subunit ribosomal RNA", at positions 509 to 807 of the family's 1533-position model. The record is from RNAcentral.